RNAcentral lists this ribosomal RNA (503 nucleotides) under uncultured bacterium. Its description in RNAcentral is "partial 16S ribosomal RNA". It matches the Rfam family "Bacterial small subunit ribosomal RNA", at positions 30 to 523 of the family's 1533-position model. The record is from RNAcentral.
AUUGAACGCUGGCGGCAGGCUUAACACAUGCAAGUCGAGCGGGGUGAUGGUGCUUGCACUAUCACUUAGCGGCGGACGGGUGAGUAAUGCUUAGGAAUCUGCCUAUUAGUGGGGGACAACAACUCGAAAGGGAUGCUAAUACCGCAUACGUCCUACGGGAGAAAGCAGGGGAUCACUUGUGACCUUGCGCUAAUAGAUGAGCCUAAGUCGGAUUAGCUAGUUGGUGGGGUAAAGGCCUACCAAGGCGACGAUCUGUAGCGGGUCUGAGAGGAUGAUCCGCCACACUGGGACUGAGACACGGCCCAGACUCCUACGGGAGGCAGCAGUGGGGAAUAUUGGAAAAUGGGGGGAACCCUGAUCCAGCCAUGCCGCGUGUGUGAAGAAGGCCUUAUGGUUGUAAAGCACUUUAAGCGAGGAGGAGGCUCUUUUGGUUAAUACCCAAGAUGAGUGGAUGUUACUCGCAGAAUAAGCACCGGCUAACUCUGUGCCAGCAGCCGCCGUAA